UACGGAAGGGGCAAGCGUUGUUCGGAAUCAUUGGGCGUAAAGGGCGCGUAGGUGGUUCUGUUUGUCUACCGUGAAAGCGUACGGCUCAACCGUAUUUUGUCGGUGGAAACUGCAGGACUUGAGGCUGGGAGGGGCUGGUGGAAUUCCCUGUGUAGCGGUGAAAUGCGUAGAGAUGGGGGAGAACACUCGUGGCGAAGGCGGCCAGCUAGACCAGUUCUGACACUGAGGCGCGACAGCGUGGGGAGCAAACAGG
This 253-nucleotide ribosomal RNA is filed under the name uncultured bacterium. RNAcentral's name for it is "partial 16S ribosomal RNA". It matches the Rfam family "Bacterial small subunit ribosomal RNA", at positions 524 to 776 of the family's 1533-position model. The record is from RNAcentral.